AUGCAGCCCGCUGGGCCUUGUGUUCACCACACUGCAUCUCCUGCCACCACUAUCUUGGUUCUGAUAAUUCUUCCCAGAACUAGUCUAUUCUGCAGCAGUAUGGAGGCUCCACCCCACCAGCCUCGGGGCCCAGUGCCUGUGGUCCAUCCCAGACAUGGGCGGCUACCUCUACAGUCUGCUUUGUACAUCCACUGGUACCAACACCAAGAGGAAGAAAACCCAAAACGCCUACUCUACUAUGAGUUUUCCACCUUCAAAGUAGAGUUGGACCCAGGAAUCAGUCCAGCGAAAUACCAUGCUUAUGAAGGUUCAAAGAGGAGCUGCAAAUUUGUAGUCAGAAGUCUAGAAGAGAGUGAUUCUGGCAUCUAUUACUGUGCCACCUGGAUUAUGCACGACAAAAAACUCUUUGGUGAUGGAACAAAACUUGUUGUCACAGAUAAGAGCCUCAAUGCAGUCAUUUCCCCCAAGCCCACAAUUUUCCUUCCUUCAUUUGAGGAAACUACGCUUCACAGUGCUGGAACAUAUCUUUGUCUUCUUGAGAAUUUUUUCCCUGACGUUAUAAAAAUAAAUUGGAAAGAAAAGAACAGCAAUACAAUACUGGAAGGCCAGCAAGGAGAUGUCAUGAAGACUAACGACACGUUCAUGAAAUUCAGCUGGCUGACUGUGACAGGAGAGUCACUGAAUAAAGACCACGAGUGCCUGGUCAAACAUGAGAGCAUUAAAGAGGGAAAAGAGAUUCCCUUUCCUUCAGUAAAGAAGCUGCUAGAGGAUCCGAACUGUUCUAAGUUUUCUAGUGGCAUCUCACAACUGCAGCUCAUGAACACCUCUGCAUUCUACACCUAUCUCCUCCUCCUGCUCAAAAGUGUGGUCUACUUGGCCAUUGUCGUCUUCUAUCUACUCAGAAGAACAGCAGUCUGUGCUGAUGGAAAGACCUCGUAA
This is a non-coding RNA of Elephantulus edwardii (Cape elephant shrew), 939 nucleotides long. Lineage: Eukaryota; Metazoa; Chordata; Mammalia; Macroscelidea; Macroscelididae. The record is from the annotation of a RefSeq genome assembly.